Molecule: ribosomal RNA, 449 nt
Filed under: uncultured bacterium
Lineage: Bacteria
Description: bacterial SSU rRNA
Rfam family: Bacterial small subunit ribosomal RNA
Source: RNAcentral
ACUCCUACGGGAGGCAGCAGUGGGGAAUAUUGCACAAUGGGGGAAACCCUGAUGCAGCCAUGCCGCGUGUGUGAAGAAGGCCUUCGGGUUGUAAAGCACUUUCAGUAGGGAGGAAGGUAGUGUAGUUAACACCUGCACUAUUUGACGUUACCUACAGAAGAAGCACCGGCUAACUCCGUGCCAGCAGCCGCGGUAAUACGGAGGGGUGCGAGCGUUAAUCGGAAUUACUGGGCGUAAAGCGCAUGCAGGCGGCCUGUUAAGUCAGAUGUGAAAGCCCGGGGGCUUAACCUCGGAAUUGCAUUUGAAACUGGCAGGCUAGAGUCUUGUAGAGGGGGGUAGAAGUUUCAGGUGUAGGCGGUGAAAUGCGUAGAGAUCUGAAGGAUACCAGUGGCGAAGGCGGCCCCCUGGACAAAGACUGACGCUCAGAUGCGAAAGCGUGGGGAGCGAAA